GGCGAGUGAACGGGGAAAAGCCCAGCGCUGAAUCCCAUGGCCACUGGUCAUCGGGAACUGUAGCGUAUAGGUGUAACUUUUCAAUGAUUUUCGCUUACCCAAAGUUCCCUUGAGUGGGGCUAUAGUCCAUAGAGGGUGCUAGGCCUGUACGGGUAGUGAAUUUUAUUGAUACUGGUUAGCACCUUAGAGUCGAGUUGCCUGGGAACGCAGCUCAAAGUAGGUGGUAAACCUCAUCUAAGGCUAAAUAUGACUACGAGUCCGAUAGCGAACAAGUACCGUGAGGGAAAGUUGCAAAGAACUUUGAAGAGAGAGUUCAAGAGGGCGUGAAACCGCUGAGAAGGAAGCGGAUAGAGUUAACGAAACACAAUGGCAUUCAUCCAAUCAGUGUUGUUGAACGCUAUAUAGGUGUGCACACUAUCCAAUCACUGAAUGGCUUAGGGCACCUAUAUGAUUCCUGUUCAAUAACUACUGUUGAUUGGUGCUUUUGCCAUUGGUAUGCGCUGAGAGGUUCGCUAUUGAUGUUGGUGCGUUAAUACCGUCCCAAAAGAGGACUGCAUCCGAAUGGAUGUAGAAACCUUUAACGGUUGAAGCGUAUCCGUAGUGAAUUGAUAACGUCGCUGUAGCACCGCUAGCUAUUUUAUAUGGUGCAAUUGGUCACAAUGUGGUUAUGUUUAAUUAUUUGCAGUCGCAUGCGACUUGCUUUUAGUUGUAGAUAGCCCAUUUGUGGCUAUACACAACAAUUGCAUUUGGCGGUGUGUCUCGGUGUAAAAGUUGACCACCUAUCCGACCCGUCUUGAAACACGGACCAAGGAGUUUAGCAUAUGCGCAAGUCAUUGGGCGGUAAACCUAAAGGCGUAAUGAAAGUAAAGAUUGCUGUUUGAUGCAAUUGAUAUGGGAUCUACAUUGGAAUUGGCGCUUCAAAACACUAAAACCAUGUAGCGCACCAUAGCCCCGUCCCGUUGCCUGCAAUAGGGCGGAGGUAGAGCGCAUACGCUGAGACCCGAAAGAUGGUGAACUAUGCCUGAGCAGGAUGAAGCCAGAGGAAACUCUGGUGGAAGUCCGAAGCGGUUCUGACGUGCAAAUCGAUCGUCUGACUUGGGUAUAG
RNAcentral lists this ribosomal RNA (1105 nucleotides) under Ozolaimus linstowi. Its description in RNAcentral is "eukaryotic LSU rRNA". It matches the Rfam family "Eukaryotic large subunit ribosomal RNA", at positions 88 to 920 of the family's 3401-position model. The record is from RNAcentral. Lineage: Eukaryota; Metazoa; Nematoda; Chromadorea; Rhabditida; Pharyngodonidae.